CUUGGGACAAGGCCUCGCACCUGUGACCUUGGUGUUGGGCUCCACACGGCCCAGACUCUCCAGCACCGUGGACUGAAACGUCUGUUCCUAUAACUGGAUCUGGGCACCACUCCUCUGAGACAUGCGCACCGAGUCGUGGAGCAAAGAGGAAGCUGAGGAGACGUCCAUGCGUGUGGACGUCUCACACAGCCACCUUCUGAAAAAGUUCUGCCACCUUACUGCUGCGGUUCAGGACCAGGCCUUACUCGGGUAACGAAACCAACCGUGCUACUCGAACCCCACCCGACUGAAUGGACUGCAGGUUAUCUGUAUGUGUGAGCCUUCCUUGCAGCCAUGGAGGAGACCAUAAAUAAAGAUGCACAUGUUUCCA
Molecule: long non-coding RNA, 370 nt
Organism: Odocoileus virginianus texanus
Lineage: Eukaryota; Metazoa; Chordata; Mammalia; Artiodactyla; Cervidae
Source: RefSeq, a predicted model, not a curated record